RNAcentral lists this non-coding RNA (24 nucleotides) under Arabidopsis thaliana (thale cress). Lineage: Eukaryota; Viridiplantae; Streptophyta; Magnoliopsida; Brassicales; Brassicaceae. The record is from RNAcentral.
AAUCCCCUUAGAACUUGCACCAGA